CAUCAACGCUGGCGGCGUGCCUAACACAUUCACGUCGAUCGAGAAAGUGGAGCAAUCCAUGAGUACCGUGCCGAACGGGUGAGCAACACGUGACUAACCUACCCUCCCGUGGGGGAUAACCUCGGGAAACCGCGGCUAAGACCGCAUAACCUCGAGAGGUGUGCUUCCUUGCGCGCAAAGGGGUAAGGCGCUGGAUGAGGGGGUCGCGGCCGAUUAGCUAGUUGGCGUGGUAGCGGCACACGAAGGCGAUGAUCGGUAGCCGGCCUGAGAGGGCGAAGGGCCAGACUGGAACUCAACCACGGCCCCGACGGCUACGGGAGGCAGCAGUGUGGAAGCUUGCAAAAGGGGGGAAACCCUGGUGCAGCAACGCCGCGUAGAGGAUGAAGUCCCUUGGGAUGUAAACUCCUUUCGACUGGGACGAUAAUGACGGUACCGGUGGAAGAAGCCCCGGCUGACUCCGUGCCUGCCGCCGCGGUAA
RNAcentral lists this ribosomal RNA (478 nucleotides) under uncultured bacterium. RNAcentral's name for it is "partial 16S ribosomal RNA". It matches the Rfam family "Bacterial small subunit ribosomal RNA", at positions 29 to 523 of the family's 1533-position model. The record is from RNAcentral.